RNAcentral lists this ribosomal RNA (253 nucleotides) under uncultured bacterium. Its description in RNAcentral is "partial 16S ribosomal RNA". It matches the Rfam family "Bacterial small subunit ribosomal RNA", at positions 524 to 776 of the family's 1533-position model. The record is from RNAcentral.
UACGGGGGGGGCAAGCGUUGUUCGGAAUUACUGGGCGUAAAGGGCUCGUAGGCGGCCUACUAAGUCAGAUGUGAAAUCCCCGGGCUUAACCUGGGAACUGCGUUUGAAACUGGAAGGCUUGAGUGUGGCAGAGGGGGGUGGAAUUCCACGUGUAGCAGUGAAAUGCGUAGAGAUGUGGAGGAACACCGAUGGCGAAGGCAGCCCCCUGGGCUAACACUGACGCUCAUGCACGAAAGCGUGGGGAGCAAACAGG